CUGGAACUGCCUUCUCGUCUGCUGUUAACAACGCACGCAAAAACGAGGAAAGGUUGUAAUGGAGAAAUAGAGGCGCGGUGACUGGGAGAAAUAAGGGAACGCCUCCCUAAUGCUGGUUCAAUGAGAGUCAUAUGACAUCUGUUACCCCUUGACUCCACAAUUACCUCCUAUGGGAAAUGUUGUGGGUCAUCUCCAGUCUUGGGCUCCCCCAAUAUCCACCAGCAUCCUCUCUCAGCAAUAAAGACUGGACUAACAGCGGAGGAUACCUUGUCUCGGGGCCAAGCUGGAUUUCAGUGCUGUCAACUUUUUAUUUUACCUGUCAGAAUGGAAACGGACAUACAAGGGUUUGUUUGCCCCUCUGACGUCUUUAGCCACAUAGGCUGUGAGAGGAAAUAGACAGAGAGCAGAUUUUAAGGACCCCACACCUCUUAAUGGUAUGCUUCGUAUGAGAGUGUGGGAUUUGGAGGGCCAAGUAACUCUUCCUUGUCUUCUUCCUCCUGAGACAUCAUUUACUCUUAUAAAGAAAAAUGUGGAAGAAAAAGUGAUCGGAGCUGUAGCUGGAUAUAAAAGUCUCAGUUCUCACAGUUCUCCACCUCAGGAAAGAUGAUGUUCAAUACUGGGCUGGCAAACGGGGGGGGGGAAGGUAAAGAAAAUCCUCCGACCUUCUAAAUCAGUGAAACCAGAUGUUUGGUGUUCUGGUUUUUCUUUAAAUCUUCCGGAUGUGACAGUUUAAAAGUAUAAUGUGUAUUUGAUCUCUAGUAAUGUGUAAAAUCUAAUUCCGGAAGAAAUUAGUUCAAUGCAAAAUCAAAACUGAAUCAAAACUGAACUGCCUAAACAUUGCAGUUCCUUGCCGAGAUGUAGGCCUCUGAAGGAAAACUUCCAUGUGUUUCAGUGCUGAUUUCAAAAGUCUAACCAUUUCUCUAAUGUAUAUGUUCAGCUAAGCCAAAUCCACACAAUGACAUCAGAUUAUAUGUCUCAAAACCAUGAAAAUA
Long non-coding RNA from Neolamprologus brichardi, 992 nucleotides. RefSeq lists it as uncharacterized. NCBI's taxonomy places the organism in Eukaryota, Metazoa, Chordata, Actinopteri, Cichliformes, Cichlidae. The record is from RefSeq and is a predicted model, not a curated record.